CAACAAAAUAGCAAAAAAUAAGCUGGAUGGACCAUGGACAGGUGCACUGGAAAGGUUUUGUUUCUUGAUGGAGUGGGCGGUGGAAUACAUUAUAUAUUUUUUCGUAUAGCAUAUUUCCAGGCUCUACUUGGGUUGUCCGCUUGUUUGAUGUUAGUGACGUUAUUGUUCGCACUGUUCCUUAAAGUUUUGACUUUCUCCAUCGUUGGUGGCAUCUUUCGGUCCCUAACUUUUUUGAAGCGCGAGCAUCUUGCCGGAGGACUGUUGUAUCUUUUUCGUAUGCUCGUUGUGCCAGUGCGGUGUUGAGGC
Molecule: long non-coding RNA, 306 nt
Filed under: Androctonus crassicauda
Lineage: Eukaryota; Metazoa; Arthropoda; Arachnida; Scorpiones; Buthidae
Source: RNAcentral